UUAGCCUUGAAGCCACAGACUGACCAGGCAGAGAAUCACAAGGCUCUCAAGGUCUAGAAGUGGCUCCAUGGACUGACUUGCUACUCUUUUGCCAAAAUGACUGACCACAGCUGACCAAACGCAAGCUCUCUUCUAUGCAAGCUGGUUUUCAGAUCUCAGAGAAAUGCCAAAAAUCCCUUUGUGAUCUGGAAGCAAAUGGCAGGGCAGUCCUAGGAGUUUAAUGAUAACCCCACACCCAGGGCAAAUCAGUUUCUAAGGAAGCAUCCAUGAUCAAGUGAGAGAGACAUCCCUGUGAAGAUGGACACUCUUCGAGCUCACUCUGGCAUGGAAGAAAAAUAGUUAAGACAGGAAGACAGGAGGUGUCUGCAGGCAGCAGUGAAAACCUCAGCUAUCAGAGAUGUCAAGGAUGUGGGCAACCUGUGGUGACCAGAAGUUAGCACAGAAAUCAGGAGGGCGGGGGCGACAGCACCAGGAGAUAAAGUACAAUGCUGGGCACCCCAGAGGUACAAGCUUGGAGCUUGGGGAAGUAGGCUGGCUUGGGAUUCAGUGGACCCCCCAAUGUUAUCCGGAGUCCAGAGUGGUGGGGAGGGUGAUGGAACCUCAAGGUUAAUCCACAAAUCCGUAGGGAAGUCUGCCGUUUGUGAGCUUAUAGGAAAAGAGGGUUAUCGUGGAACAUGUCCUCUGUACAUGAUAUGACCAGCACUUCAUAUGUAGACCAGACUGGCCUUGCAUACACUGAGAUCCACCUGCCUCUGCCUCUAAGUGCUGGGAUUAAAGGUUUAU
This is a long non-coding RNA of Microtus oregoni (creeping vole), 783 nucleotides long. RefSeq lists it as uncharacterized. The transcript is spliced from 3 exons. NCBI's taxonomy places the organism in Eukaryota, Metazoa, Chordata, Mammalia, Rodentia, Cricetidae. The record is from RefSeq and is a predicted model, not a curated record.